RNAcentral lists this ribosomal RNA (274 nucleotides) under uncultured bacterium. RNAcentral's name for it is "partial 16S ribosomal RNA". It matches the Rfam family "Bacterial small subunit ribosomal RNA", at positions 523 to 796 of the family's 1533-position model. The record is from RNAcentral.
AGACUGAGGGUGCAAGCGUUGCUCGGAAUUACUGGGCGUAAAGGGUGCGUAGGCGGUCUCUCGAGUCUGGCGUGAAAGCCCAGGGCUCCCCCCUGGAAGUGCGUUAGAAACUGAGAGACUUGAGUACCGGAGGGGAGAGUGGAAUUCCCGGUGUAGCGGUGAAAUGCGUAGAUAUCGGGAGGAAUACCGGUGGCGAAGGCGACUAUCUGGACGGUUACUGACGCUGAGGCACGAAAGCGUGGGGAGCAAACAGGAUUAGAAACCCCAGUAGUCC